GGAAAGAGGAAUGUCGUAUUAGCACAUAAGCAUAUUAGCAUAUUGCUACCACAUCCUUCUGUUUGGGGUGACUCAAUCUCAAAACAUUCCAGAGAUUGCUUCAAUUUUGCUUCCACAGUCAGCCAGCAUGUGGACCCUAACUGAGGAGCUGCUGAUGUGAACCAUGUGCAGGAGUGUGGACGUGAGCAGCAGCGGCAGCAGCAGCCUGAUGUGGAGCUCACCAGAGAACAGUCACAGUUUUGCAAAGUAAUAGCACACCUCAGAAAUGAUGCUUGUGAUACGGCAAAAAGCUGAAACUUAUGGAAGAACAGAAGUCGCCUCCCUUUGUUCUUCAGCUCCUUUUAGAAAGAACACAGUAUUUGGCUUUCAUUUUGUAAAGGUAUGGAGAGGCAGGUGUUUUCUUUCUGAUCGCAAUCCCCAUCUUAAUUAUUUAGAAGAAGUGGGGAAAUAUCUGGGUUUAUAUGUUUUUUUGAGCCAGAAGUUGGGGGUUAGCAGUCUCAUCUGUGGUGAUGCUUGUCUGCGUCAUA
This is a long non-coding RNA of Cuculus canorus (common cuckoo), 527 nucleotides long. RefSeq lists it as uncharacterized. Lineage: Eukaryota; Metazoa; Chordata; Aves; Cuculiformes; Cuculidae. The transcript has 3 exons. The record is from RefSeq and is a predicted model, not a curated record.